This 906-nucleotide ribosomal RNA is filed under the name Natronococcus roseus. RNAcentral's name for it is "bacterial SSU rRNA". It matches the Rfam family "Archaeal small subunit ribosomal RNA", at positions 52 to 956 of the family's 1478-position model. Lineage: Archaea; Methanobacteriati; Methanobacteriota; Halobacteria; Halobacteriales; Natrialbaceae. The record is from RNAcentral.
UGCUAGUUGUACGAGUUUAGACUCGUAGCAGAUAGCUCAGUAACACGUGGCCAAACUACCCUCUGGAGCGCGACAACCUCGGGAAACUGAGGCUAAUCGUGCAUACCGCUCUCACGCUGGAAGUUGCGGAGAGCUCGAAAUGCCCCGGCGCCAGAGGAUGUGGCUGCGGCCGAUUAGGUAGACGGUGGGGUAACGGCCCACCGUGCCAGUAAUCGGUACGGGUUGUGAGAGCAAGAGCCCGGAGACGGUAUCUGAGACAAGAUACCGGGCCCUACGGGGCGCAGCAGGCGCGAAACCUUUACACUGCACGCCAGUGCGAUAAGGGGACUCCAAGUGCGAGGGCAUAGAGCCCUCGCUUUUCUGUACCGUAAGGUGGUACAAGAAUAAGUGCUGGGCAAGACCGGUGCCAGCCGCCGCGGUAAUACCGGCAGCACGAGUGAUGGCCGCUCUUAUUGGGCCUAAAGCGUCCGUAGCUGGCCGCGCAAGUCCAUCGGGAAAUCCGCACGCCUAACGUGCGGGCGUCCGGUGGAAACUGCGUGGCUUGGGACCGGAAGAUCCAGAGGGUACGUCCGGGGUAGGAGUGAAAUCCCGUAAUCCUGGACGGACCACCGGUGGCGAAAGCGCUCUGGAAAGACGGAUCCGACGGUGAGGGACGAAAGCUCGGGUCACGAACCGGAUUAGAUACCCGGGUAGUCCGAGCUGUAAACGAUGUCUGCUAGGUGUGCCACAGGCUACGAGCCUGUGGUGUGCCGUAGGGAAGCCGUGAAGCAGACCGCCUGGGAAGUACGUCCGCAAGGAUGAAACUUAAAGGAAUUGGCGGGGGAGCACUACAACCGGAGGAGCCUGCGGUUUAAUUGGACUCAACGCCGGACAUCUCACCAGCAUCGACAGUAGCAAUGAAGAUCA